RNAcentral lists this ribosomal RNA (440 nucleotides) under uncultured bacterium. Its description in RNAcentral is "bacterial SSU rRNA". It matches the Rfam family "Bacterial small subunit ribosomal RNA", at positions 338 to 795 of the family's 1533-position model. The record is from RNAcentral.
CCUACGGGGGGCAGCAGUGGGGAAUAUUGCACAAUGGGGGAAACCCUGAUGCAGCAACGCCGCGUGAGCGAAGAAGGCCUUCGGGUCGUAAAGCUCUGUCCUAAGGGAAGAAUAAUGACGGUACCUUAGGAGGAAGCCCCGGCUAACUACGUGCCAGCAGCCGCGGUAAUACGUAGGUGGCAAGCGUUGUCCGGAAUUAUUGGGCGUAAAGCGCGCGCAGGCGGUCUUUUAAGUCUGAUGUGAAAUCUUGCGGCUCAACCGUAGUAAGCCCUUGGAACUGAAUGGCUUGAGUGCAGGAGAGGAGAGUGGAAUUCCUAGUGUAGCGGUGAAAUGCGUAGAUAUUAGGAGGAACACCAGUGGCGAAGGCGACUCUCUGGACUGUAACUGACGCUGAGGCACGAAAGCGUGGGGAGCAAACAGGAUUAGAUACCCUGGUAGUC